UUUUGUUCAGAGAGGCUAAAUAUCGAGUCAUAUUUUAAGUCAGCUUUGAAGCUUUGACCAUGGCAUAGCUCACGUAUUUAAAAUGUCAAACCUCAGUUUGAUCAGUUCCUCAUUCUUUACUCAGUGUCUUCUGAUUUCUGGUGGGUAAUCAUUUCUGAGUUUUGGGAGACUUGUGAUUUUAGAAGCUAACAUGGGGGAAUAGUGGCAGCAUGUGAGAAAGUAUAUUAAAUUGCUGAUGUAGAAGUUCAUAAAUAGAGAAUUAUUUUCAUACUGAUGUUUUCUCUAAAAUUUAAAGGGCAUUGAUUUCCCCCCCCCAUAUUAAAAAGGAUACUUUUUUUCAAUUUUUACACAAAAGUAGUUACUAUUUUCUGACUCUCUUAAUUUAGAAUUUUAUUGUAACAAGUUUGAAGUUUCAAAUCUUGUCUGUGUUGUAAAGUUUCUCUGACCAAGAUCAAUUUUUUACUGCCCAUCUCUCCUCUAGAGAUCGCAGUGAAGACAUUUUAACAGAAUUCAAAGAAGGCUUUGGGGAGUACUUCUUAUAUUGUUUAAUGUUUGAAAUCACAUUUUGAUUUAAACAAAUAAUGAUACAACAUUUCUGUUUUGAAAUGCAAGCAGUAAUUAAGUUCAGAGAGGUGUAAAUCUUGCUUAAGUGCAAUGUUUGUGCUUCUGCAAGGUGUUGUAAACAGUUACAGAGCACGAAGGAAAGAUCUGUCUGUGUCCUGUUGUUCUUGGAGCAGUGGUGUCUAAAGGGCAAGCUGACAUGCUGGAAAGCAUUUCCCAUGAUAAGGUUAGAGACUGUGAAUGAUGUGAGGAAUUAUUUUUAAACUGAAAAGUUACAGGCUAGGCUUCAUUAACAGAUCAUGUGAGGGAAGGUUAAACAAAAGCUGCUUGCAGAAGAGGAGAGAGGUAAUUAAAACAAUCCACUACUGGUUUAAGGUUUGUUUUCCUGAAAAUCAGUUUAGAUACAAUUAUGCAGCCUGAACUAACUACAGGCCUGGAGCAGAAAACAACAGACUGGAAAUAUCAUGAUACAGUGAGGUCUUGGCUGAGUUGUUGGAGUUCUCCUCCUCAAGCAGAGGAAUUAAGGAGGAUGCUGGUUACUUGUUCUCACAUACUACAGCAAAGUUGUUUGCCACGACAGAAAAGCCCAGCUAUCUAUCUACAUAGAAAGGGUAACUGAAAGGACAGCAUGAAACAGAAAAUGAUGUGGAGGAUGAUCUCCUCUAUAUGGCCUUCUUCAGUAUGGAGCCUGAGCAGAGCAAGGAGUCCCUGUACACAUGGACAUGAAGUGAGGGAAGGAGAUUGGGUCAGGGCACAUUGUACUUUGUGGUUGGUGAUCGUGUAAUGCAGUGUCCCCAGGCAGAAACUUAAGCCAGUGCAACAGGCCACUUGACUGUCUCCCCACACCAAAUACCACCCCAUAUUCUACCAGAAUGCAUUGCACACAGGCUGUGCAGGAAAUCAGGUCUAACAAAUAUGUGGUUAUGUUGCAAAAAACCCUGACUCUGUGAAAUCACCACAUUUGUUUAUCUUAGAGAAUGGUCAAAUGAGAGACUUCUCACCUCCUUUUAGAGGUGAAUUGAGCAGCUUGUACCUCCAAAGGUGAC
This is a long non-coding RNA of Pezoporus occidentalis (night parrot), 1607 nucleotides long. RefSeq lists it as uncharacterized. The transcript is spliced from 4 exons. Lineage: Eukaryota; Metazoa; Chordata; Aves; Psittaciformes; Psittacidae. The record is from RefSeq and is a predicted model, not a curated record.